This 216-nucleotide long non-coding RNA is filed under the name Eucalyptus grandis. Its description in RNAcentral is "long non-coding RNA (EGRA_LNC000955)". The record is from RNAcentral. Lineage: Eukaryota; Viridiplantae; Streptophyta; Magnoliopsida; Myrtales; Myrtaceae.
UCGUCGGCGGAAUCUGGAACUCGAAGACAGUGGCGCCAGUGCUCGAUCGUUGGGCGCGGUCAGCAACAGCGGCACCGGUGACAGGUGAGCAAAGGCGGUGGCGUCGGUCUCCGGGCAGAAUCGUGGAGAGCUUCGUGGGGGAGACCGGCGAAGCGUCGAGGAGCAGCAAGGGUGCGAAUGUCGUUGGAUCGCGAGUUGCAGCAGCACCGGUCGUCA